GUGCGGUCCGGCCCAUCCGGGUCUGGGAAGCACGCCAGGGAAACACAACGAAAGUUGGCAUAUUAACUGGC
This 71-nucleotide ribozyme is filed under the name unclassified sequences. Its description in RNAcentral is "Hairpin ribozyme 1 from viruses-like metatranscriptomes". It matches the Rfam family "Hairpin ribozyme 1 from viruses-like metatranscriptomes". The record is from Rfam by way of RNAcentral.